GAUUCUGGCUCAGGAUGAACGCUAGCGAUAGGCUUAACACAUGCAAGUCGAGGGCAGCACGGUGUAGCAAUACACUGGUGGCGACCGGCGUACGGGUGCGUAACACGUAUGCAACCUACCCGCUAUUGGGGGAUAACCCGGCGAAAGUCGGACUAAUACCCAUAUUAUUCUUACCGGGCAUCCGGUAGGUCUGAAAGAUUUAUCGAUUGCGGAUGGGCAUGCGGAUGAUUAGCUAGUAGGUGGGGUAACGGCUCACCUAGGCGACGAUCAUUAGGGGUUCUGAGAGGAAGGUCCCCCACACUGGAACUGAGACACGGUCCAGACUCCUACGGGAGGCAGCAGUGAGGAAUAUUGGUCAAUGGGCGCUAGCCUGAACCAGCCAAGUCGCGUGAAGGAUGACAGAAUCUAUGGUUUGUAAACUUCUUUUGCAGGGGAGUAAAGUGCGACACGUGUGUUGUAUUGCAAGUACCCUGCGAAUAAGCAUCGGCUAACUCCGUGCCAGCAGCAGC
RNAcentral lists this ribosomal RNA (509 nucleotides) under uncultured bacterium. Its description in RNAcentral is "bacterial SSU rRNA". It matches the Rfam family "Bacterial small subunit ribosomal RNA", at positions 15 to 518 of the family's 1533-position model. The record is from RNAcentral.